Molecule: ribosomal RNA, 350 nt
Filed under: uncultured Acidobacteriota bacterium
Lineage: Bacteria; Pseudomonadati; Acidobacteriota
Description: bacterial SSU rRNA
Rfam family: Bacterial small subunit ribosomal RNA
Source: RNAcentral
UCCGGCGAAAGUCGGUUUCCGCAAGGACACUCGUCGAGGUGCUGCACGCGCUCACGUCAGCUCGUGUCGUGAGAUGUAGGGUUAAAAAAACGCAACGAGCGCAACCCUUGUCCUCUGUUGCCAUCACGUUAUGGUGGGCACUCUGAGGAGACUGCCGGUGACAAACCGGAGGAAGGUGGGGAUGACGUCGAGUCAGCAUGGCCUUUAUGUCUGGGGCUACACACGUGCUACAAUGGCCGGUACAAACCGUCGCGAUCUCGCAAGAGGGAGCUAAUCGGAGAAAGCCGGUCUCAGUUCGGAUUGUCUCUUCAUCAUUUGACUGCAUGAAGUUGGAAUCGCUAGUAAUCGCG